GUAGCAGGACGGUCGUGUCGCUUGCCGAGUGUGCCCUCGGGCACUGAGCGGCAAGAGGAAAGUCCGGGCAACACAGAGCACCAUACUCUUUAACUGGGAGCUGUCGGUGACGGCAGAGUAACGUGACAGAGAAUGACUGCCCCCUCCGCCCCUGUGGUGGAGGAGGUGAUGGUGAAAAGGUGGGGUAAGAGCCCACCGGGUGUCGUGGCGACACGGCAUGCCGCACGUCUUAUGGGUUGCAAGGCCAUGUAUACCGGCACGCGGACAGCACUCCACCCGCUGGAG
RNAcentral lists this RNase P RNA (285 nucleotides) under Duncaniella sp. RNAcentral describes it as "partial RNase P RNA component class A". It matches the Rfam family "Bacterial RNase P class A", at positions 1 to 261 of the family's 367-position model. Rfam says of the family: Ribonuclease P (RNase P) is a ubiquitous endoribonuclease, found in archaea, bacteria and eukarya as well as chloroplasts and mitochondria. Lineage: Bacteria; Pseudomonadati; Bacteroidota; Bacteroidia; Bacteroidales; Muribaculaceae. The record is from RNAcentral.